CUACUACAUCCAAGGAAGGCAGCAGGGGCGCAAGUUACCCAAUGGUGACACCCCGAGGUAGUGACAACCAAUCUGUGGAGGCAAC
Molecule: ribosomal RNA, 85 nt
Filed under: Mucochytrium quahogii
Lineage: Eukaryota; Bigyra; Thraustochytrida; Thraustochytriidae
Description: labyrinthulid quahog parasite QPX partial Eukaryotic small subunit ribosomal RNA
Rfam family: Eukaryotic small subunit ribosomal RNA
Source: RNAcentral